Molecule: non-coding RNA, 73 nt
Organism: Sus scrofa (pig)
Lineage: Eukaryota; Metazoa; Chordata; Mammalia; Artiodactyla; Suidae
Source: Rfam
GCUCUGGUGGCCUAGCAGUUAAGGAUUCAGCACUGUCACUGCUGUGGCUCAGGUUCAAUCCCCGGCCAGGGAA